GUCCUCGUAGCUUACGCACCCUAAAGCAUGACACUGAAGAUGUCAAGACGGCCUCCCAUAUGCC
RNAcentral lists this transfer RNA (64 nucleotides) under Capito niger. RNAcentral describes it as "tRNA-Phe". Lineage: Eukaryota; Metazoa; Chordata; Aves; Piciformes; Ramphastidae. The record is from RNAcentral.